Molecule: ribosomal RNA, 473 nt
Filed under: Gammarus sichuanensis
Lineage: Eukaryota; Metazoa; Arthropoda; Malacostraca; Amphipoda; Gammaridae
Description: partial 16S ribosomal RNA
Source: RNAcentral
AGAGUAAGAAAAUUUUAUAGUUGUACCUUUUGUAUCAGGGAAACUUAAAAGUUUAGUAAUGAUUUAAUCGAUUUUAUUUGAACUUUUUAAAGAUCUGUAGUGGAAUUUAGGGGUUGUAGAUAUUAAGAGGUGAAAAGUGUUCGGCGAUAAUGAUAUCUAAUUGUUUUGUAAAUUUUAAAAGGUUAAGCUUUUAAAAUUUUAUGAUUAAAGUGAUCUAGGGAAAACUAGGCUUUAAAUUAGCCAUGCUCAUAUAUUGUUUUAAGUAAUUUUUUGGGGCAGAAGAGAUAUAAAAUUAUAAGCUAUAUGUAGUAAUAUUAAUUAGUAAAAAUAAUGAGUUUAUUGAAUAUAAAGUGAAGCUUAAAAUUAACUAAGUGUAAGUUAGAAGGUUUAACAAAAACAUUUCUAUUUGUUGAAUAAAAAGUAAGACCUGCCCAGUGGUAAAUAAACGGCUGCGGUAUUUUGACUGUGCUAAG